GACGAACGCUGGCGGCGUGCUUAACACAUGCAAGUCGAACGAAGAGCGAUGGAAGCUUGCUUCUAUCAAUCUUAGUGGCGAACGGGUGAGUAACGCGUAAUCAACCUGCCCUUCAGAGGGGGACAACAGUUGGAAACGACUGCUAAUACCGCAUACGAUCUAAACUCGGCAUCGAGGAUAGAUGAAAGGUGGCCUCUACAUGUAAGCUAUCACUGAAGGAGGGGAUUGCGUCUGAUUAGCUAGUUGGAGGGGUAACGGCCCACCAAGGCGAUGAUCAGUAGCCGGUCUGAGAGGAUGAACGGCCACAUUGGGACUGAGACACGGCCCAGACUCCUACGGGGGGCAGCAGUGGGGAAUCUUCCGCAAUGGACGAAAGUCUGACGGAGCAACGCCGCGUGAGUGAUGACGGCCUUCGGGUUGUAAAGCUCUGUUAAUCGGGACGAAAGGCCUUCUUGCGAAUAGUGAGAAGGAUUGACGGUACCGGAAUAGAAAGCCACGGCUAACUACGUG
RNAcentral lists this ribosomal RNA (510 nucleotides) under uncultured bacterium. RNAcentral describes it as "partial 16S ribosomal RNA". It matches the Rfam family "Bacterial small subunit ribosomal RNA", at positions 28 to 507 of the family's 1533-position model. The record is from RNAcentral.